AUACGUAGGGGGCGAGCGUUGUCCGGCAUGAUUGGGCGUAAAGGGAGCGUAGACGGUUUGGCAAGUCUGAAGUGAAAGCCCAGGGCUUAACCCUGGGACUGCUUUGGAAACUGUUAAACUAGAGUGCAGGAGAGGUAAGUGGACUUCCUAGUGUAGCGGUGAAAUGCGUAGAUAUUAGGAGGAACACCAGUGGCGAAGGCGGCUUACUGGACUGUAACUGACGUUGAGGCUCGAAAGCGUGGGGAGCAAACAGGAUUAGAUACCCUGGUAGUCCACGCUGUAAACGAUGAUUACUAGAUGUUGGGGACUAAGAGUCUUCGGUGUCGCAGCUAACGCAAUAAGUAAUCCACCUGGGGAGUACGUUCGCAAGAAUGAAACUUAAAGGAAUUGACGGGG
RNAcentral lists this ribosomal RNA (396 nucleotides) under uncultured bacterium. RNAcentral's name for it is "partial 16S ribosomal RNA". It matches the Rfam family "Bacterial small subunit ribosomal RNA", at positions 523 to 918 of the family's 1533-position model. The record is from RNAcentral.